RNAcentral lists this ribosomal RNA (467 nucleotides) under uncultured Pseudomonas sp. Its description in RNAcentral is "bacterial SSU rRNA". It matches the Rfam family "Bacterial small subunit ribosomal RNA", at positions 335 to 795 of the family's 1533-position model. Lineage: Bacteria; Pseudomonadati; Pseudomonadota; Gammaproteobacteria; Pseudomonadales; Pseudomonadaceae. The record is from RNAcentral.
UGCCUACGGGUGGCAGCAGUGGGGAAUAUUGGACAAUGGGCGAAAGCCUGAUCCAGCCAUGCCGCGUGUGUGAAGAAGGUCUUCGGAUUGUAAAGCACUUUAAGUUGGGAGGAAGGGCAGUAAGUUAAUACCUUGCUGUUUUGACGUUACCGACAGAAUAAGCACCGGCUAACUCUGUGCCAGCAGCCGCGGUAAUACAGAGGGUGCAAGCGUUAAUCGGAAUUACUGGGCGUAAAGCGCGCGUAGGUGGUUUGUUAAGUUGGAUGUGAAAGCCCCGGGCGCAACCUGGGAACUGCAUCCAAAACUGGCAAGCUAGAGUACGGUAGAGGGUGGUGGAAUUUCCUGUGUAGCGGUGAAAUGCGUAGAUAUAGGAAGGAACACCAGUGGCGAAGGCGACCACCUGGACUGAUACUGACACUGAGGUGCGAAAGCGUGGGGAGCAAACAGGAUUAGAUACCCCAGUAGUC